This 433-nucleotide ribosomal RNA is filed under the name uncultured bacterium. RNAcentral describes it as "partial 16S ribosomal RNA". It matches the Rfam family "Bacterial small subunit ribosomal RNA", at positions 29 to 507 of the family's 1533-position model. The record is from RNAcentral.
AACGAACGCUGGCGGCAUGCCUAACACAUGCAAGUCGAACGAGACCUUCGGGUAUAGUGGCGAACGGGUGCGUAACGCGUGGGAACCUGCCCUUAGGUUCGGAAUAACUCCCCGAAAGGGGUGCUAAUACCGGAUAAUGUCUUCGGACCAAAGAUUUAUCGCCUUUGGAUGGGCCCGCGUUGGAUUAGCUAGUUGGUAGGGUAAAAGCCUACCAAGGCGACGAUCCAUAGCUGGUCUGAGAGGAUGAUCAGCCACACUGGGACUGAGACACGGCCCAGACUCCUACGGGAGGCAGCAGUUGUGAAUAUUGGACAAUGGGCGAAAGCCUGAUCCAUCAAUGCCGCGUGAGUGAUGAAGGCCUUAGGGUUGUAAAGCUCUUUUACCCGGGAUGAUAAUGACAGUACCGGGAGAAUAAGCUCCGGCUAACUCCGUG